This 443-nucleotide ribosomal RNA is filed under the name uncultured bacterium. RNAcentral's name for it is "partial 16S ribosomal RNA". It matches the Rfam family "Bacterial small subunit ribosomal RNA", at positions 338 to 795 of the family's 1533-position model. The record is from RNAcentral.
CCUACGGGUGGCAGCAGUGGGGAAUAUUGGACAAUGGGGGGAACCCUGAUCCAGCGACGCCGCGUGAGUGAAGAAGUAUUUCGGUAUGUAAAGCUCUAUCAGCAGGGAAGAAAGAAAUGACGGUACCUGACUAAGAAGCCCCGGCUAACUACGUGCCAGCAGCCGCGGUAAUACGGAGGGGGCAAGCGUUAUCCGGAUUUACUGGGUGUAAAGGGAGCGUAGACGGCGAGGCAAGUCUGAAGUGAAAGGCGGGGGCCCAACCUCCGGACUGCUUUGGAAACUGUAUGGCUGGAGUGCAGGGGAAGCAAGUGGAAUUCGUGGUGUAGCGGUGAAAUGCGUAGAGAUUAGGAAGAACGCCGAGGGCGAAGGCAGCUUACUGGACUGUAACUGACGUGGAGGCUCGAAAGCGCGGGGAGCAAACAGGAUUAGAUACCCUAGUAGUC